This 486-nucleotide ribosomal RNA is filed under the name uncultured bacterium. RNAcentral's name for it is "partial 16S ribosomal RNA". It matches the Rfam family "Bacterial small subunit ribosomal RNA", at positions 28 to 507 of the family's 1533-position model. The record is from RNAcentral.
GACGAACGCUGGCGGCGUGCUUAACACAUGCAAGUCGAACGCUGAAGACCUGGCUUUUGUUGGGUUGGAUGAGUGGCGAACGGGUGAGUAACACGUGAGUAACCUGCCCUCUUCUUUGGGAUAACGCCCGGAAACGGGUGCUAAUACUGGAUAUUCACUGAUCUUCGCAUGGGGGUUGGUGGAAAGGUUUGUUCUGGUGGGGGAUGGGCUCGCGGCCUAUCAGCUUGUUGGUGGGGUGAUGGCCUACCAAGGCUUUGACGGGUAGCCGGCCUGAGAGGGUGGCCGGUCACAUUGGGACUGAGAAACGGCCCAGACUCCUACGGGAGGCAGCAGUGGGGAAUAUUGCACAAUGGGCGAAAGCCUGAUGCAGCGACGCCGCGUGAGGGAUGGAGGCCUUCGGGUUGUAAACCUCUUUCGCUCAUGGUCAAGCCGCAACUGUGGGUUGUGGUGAGGGUAGUGGGUAAAGAAGCGCCGGCUAACUACGUG